RNAcentral lists this ribosomal RNA (143 nucleotides) under uncultured Leifsonia sp. RNAcentral's name for it is "partial 23S ribosomal RNA". It matches the Rfam family "Bacterial large subunit ribosomal RNA", at positions 1 to 143 of the family's 2925-position model. Lineage: Bacteria; Bacillati; Actinomycetota; Actinomycetes; Micrococcales; Microbacteriaceae. The record is from RNAcentral.
UUCAAGUUUCUAAGAGCAAACGGUGGAUGCCUUGGCAUCUGGAGCCGAAGAAGGACGUAGUAAUCUGCGAUAAGCCUCGGGGAGCUGAUAAACGAGCUUUGAUCCGAGGAUCUCCGAAUGGGGAAACCCCGCUGGGCCCUUUA